CCCUACGGGGUGCACCUGAUCUGCAGACAUACCCUUAGGCUUGAUCCUGCCCACCUCGCGUCCAUGGACUCCAUGAUGGCCCUCAGUCUUGUCGACGGUGGUUACGGCAUAUUCGGGAUCGCUCUCACUGUCUCCAUCGCCCAGAUAGAGAUGAUUACUGUAAUAAAAACCAUAGCAAAUGGGCCAAUGGUGAUUGGUCAUGGCCUCAACCAGAUCGUCCUCGCUUUCAAGCUCUUUAAACGAGAACACGCGGUCAGGAUGCUUCAUCAUCUUCACCUUUAUCCAUAAAAUACUAAUUGCAGACCAGAAUUAAAUAGUUUUUCAGCUAAUCAUCUGACAAAAUCUAUAAGCUGGCCGAUCCAUUCUCCUGAAUGAAUUGGCGGGAGGGC
Molecule: ribosomal RNA, 389 nt
Filed under: uncultured prokaryote
Description: partial 16S ribosomal RNA
Source: RNAcentral